AAAAAUGUGUCUUUCCCUCUGUCUUUACACGACGACGGACUUCCUCCCAUCGGCGAACGAUGGCAGCAGCUGCAGUGGCAAUGUCUCUCCGGUGGCAGUGGCAACAUCUUCCUCUAGUGGCAAUGACAAUGGCGACGUCUUCCUCCGACUGCGGCAGUGACGUCUUCCUUCGACGGUAGCGGCGGUGGCUUCUACCCCUCCUGGUAUAUCUCUCUCUUUCUCCUCCCUUCUCCCUCCUCCUACCUCUGCCCCCGUUCACUAUAGGCCCUUGCCCCCCCCUCCCCUGAUCCCUCUUCCCUUGUUGCUACAGCUCACCCCCUUCCUCGGAUCAUAACCUUCUUCUCUCUUCCCUCUUCCCUUGUUGCUGCACCUCUUCUCUUGUUGUCGCAUUUCCCCUCUCCCCUCUUCCCUCUUCCCUUGCUGUUGCAGCUCUCCCUAUCCAACAAUCACCCUUGUUGUUGCAGCUCCCCUUAUCCAACAGUGGUCGCUCCCCUAUCCAACAGUCACUGCUAGCAUCUUUUCAGUCAUCGGCAGCCAUCCUCCUCCUAUGCUAAUAUUUUUAUUAAUAUAACAUGUAAAUUUUGUAUUUGUUAGUAUUUGUAAAUGGAUUGUUGCUGCAACUUUAGAAUCAUGAUAUAUAAUUUAUUUUUGUUGGUGUUAGUAUUUAUUUUAGUUUUAGUUUAUUUUUAUUAAUUAUGAUAUAUAAUUUUUAAAUUAUAAUGUUCUGGAGGGUCUCUCUUCCCUCGGGUGAGCAUCUUGCACAUUGGGCAUUUUGGGACCGUUUUGGCGCUUGGCAUUUUUGACCACAUUGGGUUAUUGUUAGAACCCUUGCAGAUUCUAAACUUGGGGUUGAUCUCUUUAGGGGAUCGGUCUCCUUGGAACUCUAUAGGGGUUCCUCCCUCCAAGUUGCUGCUCAAAGGCUGCAGAAAAGAUUCAUCUAUUGUUUAUGAAAAGAGGUGGAAUACAUGACUAUUUAUAGGGCUUCUAAACCCUAACUCCUAAUAGGACUCUUACUUAAGACUCCUACUUCUAACUAACUCCUAUUAGGACUCCUACUCAAGAAUCCUAUUCCUUUACAACUCUUUAUUCUUCUCUAAGAAAUAACCUCCUAACCCUAGCCGGCCACUUCACCUCUUUAAUAGGGGUCGGCUUAGGUAGGUUUUACAUGAAUGUCCCUCUCAAUUAGGACUCUCCUAGCUAGAGUCCUAACAAACCCGCCCUCUUCAAAUCAGCCUUGUCCUCGAGGCUGACGAUUCAUGAAUUUACACAGACAUAAGACACUUAUUACACAGACAUAAGACACUUAUGAGAAUUUGAUCAUCAAGUCAUCAUAGUUCUCCCAAGUGACAUCUUCUGUUAGUAGGUUUGCCUACUGUAUUAGCAAUUCAGUAGUGGAUCGUCAUUGUCGAGUCACAAUCCGUCGAUCAAUAAUGGCACUUAGCUGAGUCUGAAGUUCUCCUUGGGUUGUCAUAUUUGGUGGGUGGCUUUGGGCUGUCUCCAAGCACCUAUUUACAACUUUCGUCUGGCCGUCGGUUUGUGGGUGAUAUGCCAUACUUCUUUUCAAUUUAGUACUCUGCAUAUGGAAUAACUUUGUCCAAAAUCGGCUCGUGAAGAUGCAAGUAGAAUUUAUCAUAAACACAAUGCGUCCCUUAUAGUGUAAUUCUUUUGAGUCCCAAUUGUAAUGAGCCAUGGGGCUUGGUGCUUCCUCCAAUUUUUUUAUAAUCUUACAAGUCUCUGAAUCUUCCUGCCAUUCCAUCUUAAUAUCCUUAAGAAAGUUGUUGGUCGGAAGUGAAACGGCCGAAACUUCAACUUGCUCAGGUAGCUGCGAAAGCGCAUCUGCAAGAACAUUCUCUUUCCCCUUUUUGUAAGUUAUUUCAUAAUCAAAUCCAAGAAGUUUUGUUACCUAUUUUUGCUGCUCAGGGGAUGAUAUCUUUCGCUCCAAAAAGUACUUGAGGCUUUUAUGGUCGGUUUUAAUUUGAAAUCGUUGGCUAAUCAAGUAGGGUCUCCACCUCGUUGCUGCGCGCACAAUGACGAGCAUCUCUUUAUCAUAUGUUGACUUAUUUUGAUGGGAGGGAGAUAAUGCCUUGCUAGUGUAUGUGAGUGGUCGACCAUCUUGCAUGAGAAUGGCUUCAAUUCCGACUCCAGAUGUGUCGGCCUCAAUAAUGAAGGGUCAGUUGAAAUCUGGUAGUGUUAGCACCGGCGUCGUCGUCAUGGCUGCCUUAAGUUUGUCGAAGGCUGCGGAGGCUCUAUCCGACCAUUGGAAGACAUCUUUUUUCAGUAAGGAAGUAAGUCGUGCACUGAUCUCUCCAUAGUUUUUCACGAACUUGCAGUAGUAGCCUAUUAAACCCAGAAAGCCAUGUAGCAAUUUUAUGUUCCUCGGGGUCAGCCAGUUUUGCAUUGCUCCAAUUUUGAAGGGGUCUACUGCCACACCUUCCUCUGAUAUGCCCAAGAUAUUCCACCUUCUUUUGAAGAAAGCAAAAAAUCAUAGUGGUUGUUGUGUGUUCAAAAGGUGGUUUUCGGUAUGCCUUCUUCGCAUACUCGUAUUUGAUGAUACCUGGAUCGAAGGUCCAGCUUUGUGAAGAUUUGUGCUCCCUUUCAUCUAGCAAUUCAUUUACUACUGGAAUAGGGUAUUUAUCCUUGAUGGUUAUGUCAUUGAGAGCUCGGUAGUCAACACAUAAUCGCCAUAUUCCGUCCUUCUUUCGUAUGGGGAGCACCGGUGAAGAGUAGGGGUUGCAACAUGGCCGAAUAACUCCUGUUUCGAGCAUCUCUUUUACAAUCCAUUUUAUUUCAUCCUUCUGGAGAUGUGGAUACUGAUAUGGCUGAGCAUUUGCUGGAGGUUUGCCUGGAAGAAUCGUUAUAUAAUAAUCAUGCCGGCGGGUAAGAGGUAGGUUGCGCAGUUCGUCAAUUAUAUCUGAAAAUUCAGCAAGCAAAGGAAGUAGAUUUGGAUCUUCAAAUUCUGUUGGCUCUUCCUUAGUUUGCUGCUCAAGUUGUACCAAAAAACAACUGUAUGCUUUACGCAAAACCUUCUCCAUUUGUUGUGUGCUAAUCAUCGUUACGUCGCCCCCACGUUUCCCAUGCAGUAUCACCUGUUUCUCCUUACUGUAAAAUUUCAUAAUUAGUUUCAUAAAAUUCCAAGAAAAAUCACAUAAUGUUGUCAACCAUUUAAUUCUGAGCAUGGUCUCAUGAUCAUCAAGAGGGAGAAGGAAGAAAUCUGUAAUUAUCUCUUGGUAAGGCCUUAUGAUCAGCAACAGUUUCACUUGCGGGCGCCUACGAUCAUACUUCAAAAUCCAACCAUUGGCGGCCUUAACGUCAAACCUGCUGCAAUUCUCGAUAGAUAAAGCCAUCUGGACCGCAACCAUACUGUUUAUAAAGUUAUUAGUACUGCCCAUGUCGAUGAGAACAGUGAUCGGUUGUUGUUUGAGAAGGCCUCCAACUUUCAUCGUUUGCGGGUUUGAGUAGCCGACUAGUGCAUGUACCGUAACUUCAGUCGAUUGUGGCUCUUCUUCUGCAUCUUCUCUUUCAUGUUCAAGGCUCUCUUCUGGAUGUUCAAUGACCUCUUCUUCUAUUGGUUCAAUCUUAAGAAGUCUCUCUUUACUACAGCGAUGCUCACGGCUCCACAGCUCGUCGCAAUGCCAACAUAACCCCUUCGUAUAUCGCUCCCGAAGCUCUUCUCUUGUUAACCUCUUUGGUGUAGGGACUCGGUCGAUAAUAGGGGGGGCUGGGGGCUUCAAUAUUGCUAGUUGAGGAGCGACCCUAGUCCUCCGAGCUUCAUGGUUCAGUUGCUCCUCUUGAUGUCGUACGAAUGAGAUGGCUGCCAUAAGCGUGUACGGUUGUCGUGCUUUAACUUCUCCUCGGAUCUCCGGCUUCAAGCCUUCAACGAAGGUCCUCAAUAGCUGUUUUUGAGACCAAUCAUGAGUUUGAUUAGAUAACCUUUCAAACCUGGUUUAGUACUCCUGAAUGGUGGAGGUUUGUCGAAUCUUUACUAGUUGUUCGUCAAUAUUCUCGUAAUUCGUUGGUCUGAAGCGGAUCAACAGUCCUUCUUUGAAUUGUCGCCAUGAAAGGACUCCAUAAGUAUGUUCAAACCAGUCAAACCACUGUAUGGCAUCCCCUUCAAGAUGUAUAGCUGCAAUUUUCACCAUAGAUGCGUCUGCGGUUUUGUGGUACCGAAAAUAUCGCUCCGCGCGCGAGAUCCAACCAAUCGGGUCUCCUUCCCAUCUAGGAAAAUUUACCCUCAUGCAUGGAUAGUUGGGGUCAGUCAUAGAGCCUCCCCUCCCUUGGAACUCAUCUCUUAGGGCCUGGUGCGAUUGGGCAAAGCUCUCUCCUUGAUAUGAUUUUUUCGGGCUUAGUGGUCGGCCCAAUCUGAGUUCGGUAAAGAGCGUCCGAAUCUUAUCCUCCAUUCGCGCCUCCAAGGCUUCGAAUUUAGCAUUGAUUGCCUCCUUAGAUGCCAUAGUAUAUGCCUCCAAAUCUAUGAUGUUAAGAUCUCUCUUUUGUUGUUAGGUUAAAGGCAUGUAUAGGUUGAGAGAAGUGAUGGUCGAAAGGGUUGGUGGAUCGGUGGAUAUAGGCUACGAUUUAGGCUUGUUUUUUGGUUGUUUUGGGUGCAGUUUGAGGGUGUGGUUUAGUGGAGUUUUAGGGCUGUGGAUGAAAGUUUUGGAUCUGUGGUAGAUGGCAGCAAAGGUUUGAUAGAAAUCAGUGGAAGUUGCAGCAAGUAUGUGCUGUCUUGUAAGAGUAGAAUUGUCGUCGAAGAAACAANNNNNNNNNNNNNNNNNNNNAGUAAGGUAGAAAACCAGAACCUGUUGCAAUUCACGGGGAGAUCAAAGGAUGAUCCGUGGUGGUGGAGAUGACGACGGAAUUUGGGAACGACUCUUAAGCAAUUGUGGGAAUUGCUUUGGGCGGUUGUGGAGGGUUGAUGGAUGGCUGUGGAAGGACAGCGAGACGCCAAGAACGUUGCUCUGAUACCAGGUGUUAGAACCCUUGCAGAUUCUAAACUUGGGGUUGAUCUCUUUAGGGGAUCGGUAUCCUUGGAACUCUAUAGGGGUUCCUCCCUCCAAGUUGCUGCUCAAAGGCUGCAGAAAAGAUUCAUCUAUUGCUUAUGAAAAGAGGUGGAAUACAUGACUAUUUAUAGGGCUUCUAAACCCUAACUCCUAAUAGGACUCUUACUUAAGACUCCUACUUCUAACUAACUCCUAUUAGGACUCCUACUCAAGAAUCCUAUUCCUUUACAACUCCUUAUUCUUCUCUAAGAAAUAACCUCUUAACCCUAGCCGGCCACUUCACCUCUUUAAUAGGGGUCGGCUUAGGUAGGUUUUACAUGAAUGUCCCUCUCAAUUAGGACUCUCCUAGCUAGAGUCUUAACAGUUAUAUAAUCAUUUAGACUUGCCAUUGGGCUCUCAGUAGUGUGAAAGAAUUUUCAGAGUUGUAGCUUUUAUCUUCUCUUUAUUUUUUUGGACAAUGACUUUAUCUUGUGAUCCUCUAAUUAGCUGACAAGACUUCUCUGUCAUAAAUAAGUGCAUUCACAAAGUGGCCUUUGUUUGUGGGAGACAACUUGGAAUCUAUCAAUCACAAAUGCAGCUGACUGUUUGUUUGGACGUAUAGUGGAAGACUGGCAUUCUGGUAUGUGAUGUUGUUUUGUUCUGGUUAUGGUUGCCAGACAGCAGUGAUUUGGUCCAUUAGAUACAAACUUGCAAGUUCAUGCAGCCUCCUCAACAAGGGAGGAUGUCUCUUUGAUGCUUGAUGGCAUCACCACAUGCCAAUUUAUGAUGUCGUUCUGAAGUAUCAAAAUGGUGAUGGGGCUGCGGUACUAAUGCUAGAACAUGUAUAUCUUAGAGGUUUGGCUCAUUCCUAGAAGCACGUGUAAGGUGGGCACCCUAUAUGUGCUCAAAGCACCUGUAUUGGAUGCCAUUUCAAGGCCAUUAUACUAAGUUGAGAAUGGAUCAUAGCUCGGGCCAACUUUGGGACGUGAGUUUGAGAAUAUCGUAGACUAUUGCGAUGUUGCCUAUUUUGCUUCUGAGCCAAGUGUAUCAGUCUUGUAGAAGCACAUUUGCUGGUGAGACUGCCUCGUAAGUGGUAGUUUAUAGAAAGAGAUGUGUGGUAGGAAAUGUUUUGUCAUAGUUAUCAGAUGGUGGUCGGAUUGAAAAAAUCAGGAAUUAGACUAUUAAUUGGUGUCAGUCACAGAAUGGAUUGAUUGUGUCAAAACAAGAAUGAACUGGUCGACCAGGUUUGAUUUUGGUGAAUCUGCUUGACUCGACCAUGACUCGAUUCUGUAACAUUAUGUUACUUAAAUGUAUUUUUAAUUUAAAUUGUUUUAUUAUUUGUUUCAUAGGAUGUUCAUGUUAAUUUUGAGAAACUGUGUUUGAUCAGAUCAGUUUGUUGGUUCAGUUAUGAUAACUGAGUUUUGCAACAAUCCCUGCUUUCAAAUCUAUCUUAGAAAUUUUUAUUUCUUUCUUAAAUUUGUAUGAGAAAUGGAAGGUGUUAAUUUUAAUCGAAGAUCCUGGCACUUGUAGAAUAUCAAUCUUAAGAAUUCAACAUUGAAAUAAUAAUUAAUCCAGUGAAAUAAUCUUCCAUUAAUUUUGUGUUGCAGCUUGGAAGCCUAAUUGGUCACCCUCUUGGUGGAUUAUAGAAUAUAUGGUUCUACAUGUUGUCAUUGCUUUGUGGUAGAUAAGGGAUUGAGAGUAGAGUGAUGGCAGAAUCUUUAAUCAAGAAGUAAUCAUAAUCAUAUUCUUCGAUCUCUAUUAAAAUUAAGACUGGUUUCAGGUUUAAGUUCACGUGCGAGCAUCAUGAAUUAUGUUAUUUAAUAUAAUGAAUUCAUGUCUCCUUUUCCUGAUUUUACAAAGCUUAUAAUUCACCAUUGCUCUUCAUUUUUUUUGAAGUGAAGCCUUAAAAGUAUUACUUAGAGGAGACUGUAAAUAGGUCUUUUAUGUGAACAUGGGUAUUGUAAUUAGGUCUUUUAUGUAUCCUCCAGGCAAUCAAUUUAAUUAUUGACUUGUUAAUUCUAUGUUUAUUUAUUUAAAUUGCACAUUGAGUUAUUGAGAUAAUUUCUAUAAUUUUUGUUACUUGCGAGGUAAAUCCCAGGGCAUAACGAUCUCAGUUUAAUUUUGACUUAUUAAUGUUUUCUUUAUGAUCUUUUUUCCAUACACUUGCUCUGUAUUGGCUAAUGACCAACUAGUUGUUUGGUUACACCUUAGAAAACAAAGUAAAUUCCUUGAAAAAAAAUUGGCAUUUGUAAUAGAAUCCAAUUAAUUGGGUGAAACUCAAUCUUUCGUGCAAACAAGAGUUUGGAGGUUUGCCGCUUUUGAUGCUUAAUUAGAAAUUGAGAAAGAGUUGAUGCUUAUCUUUUUUUGCUGCAUGUUCGAUUUGUUUUGUUUCGUACGCCUUGAUCAAUUAUAAAAUUUUGAUUUAUAGUAAAAUAUGUGUCAAAUUUCUUCUACAGAUCUCUAAUUGUAUAAUCAAUCAGAUCAUUGUCAUCAACAAAAAAUCUUUAGCAUGUUUAUUAUGAAAAAAAUUCAAAGUUGCAUAACUCAAUAGAAUAGUAGUUGAGUUUUUAAUGUCAACGUCACCGACGUUUAGAUCUCCGGCCAUCAAUAGUUGGAGAUCUUCUGUUUUAAACAUAAAAGAACAUGAAAUUUAAUCUCUUAAGUAUUCUAAACCGAGCUCUAGGAUCUGCAAAGGUCAGGAUUUGACUAAAAGAGCUGGUUGAUUCUUAGAGCUAUCAAUUUACUGUCUAUGACCUGUCUCAAAGGAGAUAUGGUAUUCAAUGGAGUAGGAUUAAUCCUUCAUCCAUGUAUUCCAAGACUAUAUAUUAUAAGCUAUAAACUAUGACAAGGGUGUGAGUGUGAAGACUUUUAGGAGAUUGUGUUACUACGCUCUAUCAGUAGAAAUGUCACUUUGUUUUGAUUUUUUGUUGAGAGGUGCUUCACCUACUCAUGCUUUGUCUGAACACUUUUUGAAUUAUCAGAGUUCCCUUUCUUUGAAAAAAUAUAUAAAAAAAGUCAUAUAUAGAUUAUAUAAAUUGCAUAGUUAUGGUGCUUUUAAUGCAAGAAUCGAACAUGGGAGGUAUGUUUUGGUGGAUGCAAUUAAAUCCUAGAUAAAAGCUGUUGGAGAAAUGAUCUUAGUGUGUUUUUCUAUAAAAUUAGAAUAUAAUUUUUAUUUAUUGUGUAAUAAUGUACUAACCAAUUUGGAUGCGAAGGAUGCAAGACAAAUGAGUUUAUUGUGAUACUUACUAUACUUUACGAGAAGAUAUAUAAAAAUUAUUAGUGGAAUUUAAUGUUAAAUUACUAGUUAGGAUUUCACAUAACAAAGAACAAACAUUACGGUGUGUUUUGAACUAUAAUAAAACCAUUUUUAAUGUUGUGAAACAUUUUGAACAUCAUUAAAUUUUCUAGUCUAUAAAAGGAGACGUUACAUGUGCCAAAACUUCAAAACUAGAUAGAUGGCUUUGGACAAAAGAUUGAUCCAUCGAAAGGUGUUUCCUUUUGUGCUCUAAGGAACAUGGAGUAGUUUGGUACCAUGAUGUUAGCUUUGCUGUAAUAUCGAAUAUUGUUUUUGAAAAAUAAAACAAAAAAAGUCUGUAACUUCACCAAGUUUUUCACAUUAUAUUAAUAAAUUAUUUAUUUUAAAAAUAAAUUGUGAAUUAUUCCAUUUAAAAAAUUAUAUUUUUCAUUGUUAAGACUCGGAAGUCGAAGGAUCAAAACCAUCCUCAUCACUUGUUAUUUAUAAUUUCUUUUCAUUAAAUUUGAUUGGGACAGUACUUCUAUAAUGCAUUUUCAGCACACUCUCAUAUUAGGAAAGUCAAUAUGAAAUUUUUAUCUUUCCUUUUUCUUGACAUUUUUGUUAGAUCGAGUAAAGUCAAGUCUUGGUUUAGUUUAAAUUUGUUUAUCCUGACAUUAUUGACUACACUUGUGUUCCAAUUUAUUCAAUGUUGUGGAAUAAAGAUAAACCUCUUAUAUGCACUGUACCAUUAUCUACACUCGUGUUUCUAUUUUCAUUUUCUGAAGUUGCAUCGAACAAUAUUUUAAUCUAUUAUUAGGUGACAAUGUUCUCUUAUCUUCUUUUUUCUUAACAGAAAAUUCUAUUUGAUCUUAUGGGAGCGCCUCUAAAAAUUCAUUAUUUGUUACGGCAGCAAAUGCUUUUUACCAUUUCAUUGUUUUAAUUAUUCUAAUUCGAGGAAAUCUUUCAUCUUAACUUCACAUCUAGUAAUCUUUUUCACCGAGUUUGGUUUUUUAGAAAUCUUUGAUGAUGAUGAUGAUGAUGAUGAUUGAUGAUGAUGAUGAUGAUGUUUCAGCUUCUUUGAUGAUCGUCAUAGCUACAUUGCAGACCCUUCAGCUCAGCUGGAAGCAUAGAGAUUCUUAGAAAGCUCAUUUCAACCAACGAAAAGUAACA
This 9375-nucleotide long non-coding RNA is filed under the name Musa acuminata (dwarf banana). RNAcentral's name for it is "long non-coding RNA (MACU_LNC002730)". The record is from RNAcentral. Lineage: Eukaryota; Viridiplantae; Streptophyta; Magnoliopsida; Zingiberales; Musaceae.